Long non-coding RNA from Chiroxiphia lanceolata (lance-tailed manakin), 274 nucleotides. RefSeq lists it as uncharacterized. The record is from RefSeq and is a predicted model, not a curated record. NCBI's taxonomy places the organism in Eukaryota, Metazoa, Chordata, Aves, Passeriformes, Pipridae. The transcript has 2 exons.
GCAAAGCCCUCCAGGACCUCACCAGGGCUCCCUGGUGUGCCAGCAACGCCGGUGCCAGGCUAAUUUCUUAAGACAGCGUGUAAAGAAGACCACGCGGGCAAACCAAGCCAGACACUCUUGCGGCAGGUUAGGAUGAAUCCAGACCCGAUUCUGAGCCGUGUGCUACUCGCAGGAGGAUCUCCCAUCUGCAGAACCGCCACGGCUUUCCCGACAAGAGCAACACGACAUCAAGGUUUUUCCACUGUGCCUAAUAAUCGUAACAUCUCACUCGCCA